GCCCUGAUGGUGUAGUGGCCUAUCAUGCAGCCCUGUCGAGGCUGCGACCCGGGUUCAAAUCCCCGGGCGGGGCGCCA
Molecule: transfer RNA, 77 nt
Filed under: Methanobacteriota archaeon
Lineage: Archaea; Methanobacteriati; Methanobacteriota
Description: Euryarchaeota archaeon (seawater metagenome) tRNA-Asp
Rfam family: tRNA
About the family: Transfer RNA (tRNA) molecules are approximately 80 nucleotides in length.
Source: RNAcentral